CCUACGGGGUGCACCAGUGGGGAAUAUUGGACAAUGGGCGAAAGCCUGAUCCAGCAAUGCCGCGUGUGUGAAGAAGGCCUUCGGGUUGUAAAGCACUUUCAGUAGGGAGGAAGGUAGUGUAGUUAACACCUGCAUUAUUUGACGCUACCUACAGAAGAAGCACCGGCUAACUCCGUGCCAGCAGCCGCGGUAAUACGGAGGGUGCGAGCGUUAAUCGGAAUUACUGGGCGUAAAGCGCAUGCAGGCGGCCUGUUAAGUCAGAUGUGAAAGCCCGGGGCUUAACCUCGGAAUUGCAUUUGAAACUGGCAGGCUAGAGUCUUGUAGAGGGGGGUAGAAUUUCAGGUGUAGCGGUGAAAUGCGUAGAGAUCUGAAGGAAUACCAGUGGCGAAGGCGGCCCCCUGGACAAAGACUGACGCUCAGAUGCGAAAGCGUGGGGAGCAAACAGGAUUAGAUACCCGGGUAGUC
RNAcentral lists this ribosomal RNA (465 nucleotides) under uncultured bacterium. Its description in RNAcentral is "bacterial SSU rRNA". It matches the Rfam family "Bacterial small subunit ribosomal RNA", at positions 338 to 795 of the family's 1533-position model. The record is from RNAcentral.